CCGCGGGGGCCAUGCAGGGAUAGGACGACAGGGGAGUGCGGGGAGCUGGCCACCUGCGCGACGAGCGGCGGGCGGUGGUGAUGUCUGGGGGCAACUGCCUGCGGGAGGGGGAUCACUCCGGAAGACUUUCGCUAAUACCGUAUUCCGCCCUAAUAACAAAGGGGGGGAUCUUUUGCCUCUUGCUUAGCUAUGUAGCCAUAUGGGAUUAGCUAGUGGGUGGGGUAACGGCUCACCUAGGCCACUAUCCCUAGCUGGUCUGAGAGGAUGACCACCCACACUGGAACUGACACACGGUCCACACUCCUACGGGAGGCAGCAGUGGGGAAUAUUGCACAGUGGGCGCAAGCCUGAUGCACCCAUGCCGCGUGUAUGAAGAAGGCCUUCGGGUUGUAAAGUACUUUCAGCGAGGAAGAAGGCGGUGAGGUUAAUACCCUCCUCGAUUGACGUUACUCGCAAAAAAAGCACCGGCUAACUCCGUGCCAGCAGCCGCGGUAAUACGGAGGGUGCAAGCGUUAAUCGGAAUUACUGGGCGUAAAGCGCACGCGCGCGGUCUGUCAAGUCAGAUGUGAAAUCCCCGGGCUCAACCUGGGAACUGCUUUCGAAACUGGCGGGCUAGAGUCUUGUAGAGGGGGGUAGAAUUCCGUGUGUAGCGGUGAUGUGCGUAGAGAUCUGGAAGAAUACCGGUGGCGAACGCGGCCCCCUGGACAAACACUGACUCUCAUGUGCGAAAGCGUGGGGAGCAAACGAGAUUAUAUACCCUGGUAGUCCACGCCGUACACUAUGUCCACUUGGGGGGUUGUUCUCUUGAAGAGUGUCUUCCAGAUCUCACGCGUUAAGUCCACCCCCCUGGAGAGUACGGGCCGCGGGGUUAACACUCAUAUGAAGUGACGGGGCGCCGCGCACACGCGGUGGAGCAUGUGGUUUUUUUUCUAUACACGCAGAAGAACCCUUACCCUACUCUUGACCUCCAGAGAUCUUAGCAGAGAUGCUUUUGUGCUCUUCGGGCACUCUGACACAUGUGCUGCGUGGCUGUCGUCAGCUCGUGUGAGAAAUGGUGGGGAUAAGUCCACAACGAGCGCACUAUACUCCAUUGUUGCCAGGUGUGAGGCCGGGAUACUCAAAGGACACUGCCAGUGAUAAUCUGAGAAAGUGUGAUGACUACGAGUCAUCAGUGCUCUCUCACGAGUGGGCUCACACGAC
Molecule: ribosomal RNA, 1200 nt
Filed under: Enterobacter sp. M3AYSJSMOH
Lineage: Bacteria; Pseudomonadati; Pseudomonadota; Gammaproteobacteria; Enterobacterales; Enterobacteriaceae
Description: bacterial SSU rRNA
Rfam family: Bacterial small subunit ribosomal RNA
Source: RNAcentral